ACAGUGGACUGUGGAGACACAAACACACCUCUUCUUCUUCCCACUCGGCUGUUCCGCUGUCGGCAUUCUUCUUUCCCCAAAUCAAAAGCAAAUCCUAGCCGCCGCUACCACUGUCUUCACCACUCACCAGUCAGCCACUUCCGCCACCACCGCUGCCGCCCUUCAAUUGAAGGGCCCUUUCUCUCCGAAUCCCAGUUUGUUGGCCAGCGUUAGAAGCAGCUACGGUAGACAUUUCAUCAGCUCCGGAGGGUCUCGCGAACAGGAACAACCUCCGAUAACUCCCCUCUGGCUCUCGCCACCACUUCGCCUUUUCAAGAAUCGCUGCCCGAAACAGCUUCUUGCACGAAAAUUGUGUAUUUGACAUCCGAGUUAAGCUUCUCUUGUGGUAACAGGAUGAGCAGCGAGUGUAGUUAUUAGCAUUAUUAAAGGUAAUGGGUUCGGAAUUUGAAUUAGUUGAGGAGAGAUUGAAGACUUUUUUGGGUCAGCUGCAGACAGAAUUUGCAAUUCUCGAUAGAAUUGUCUACAAAAAUAAGAAUCAGCAUCGAAGGUGCUCUUAUUUUCAGUACCUGCUUAAGGUUAGAAGGGAUUUGAGGCUUCUGCAAUCAGCAAAGUUGGAGGAAAUCUUGAAUUCCUGCUUUCUGGUAAUCCAUGGCAAAAGGCCUAAACAAAAACUGCAGCUUUUGAAAGG
This is a non-coding RNA of Coffea arabica (coffee), 688 nucleotides long. Lineage: Eukaryota; Viridiplantae; Streptophyta; Magnoliopsida; Gentianales; Rubiaceae. The record is from RefSeq and is a predicted model, not a curated record.